CCGGCGCUGUGCCCCGCCUGAGCUCCGGGCCGCCCCUCCUGUCGCCCGACUUCGUGUCCCCACGGCUCCACGCGCCCCUCGCCGCGGUCCGCUGGGGUUUCCGAGCCGCCACCGAACCAAGCAGUCGACUUGCAGGCGUCCGCCAAGGCCUCCCCAAGGUGGCGCCACACCCAGGACAGGCCCCGGGGCCCUCCGCAGCGCUGGCGCCGAGCUGAUGACGUGAAGGGGUCAGGGGCCGUCGGGGCGGGGCUACGGGCCCUCACCGGCUGACUCUAGUGCCUGCGGGUGGCACUACAAACUAGUUUGUCCCAGCGCCGCGGAUAGGUCUUCUGGCGCGGGAACUAUCCUACGGAGGGAUCGGGAGAUAAACGACUAGUGAUGGAGGUGCGCAAACUGAGGCUCCGGGCGGGUCAGGAGGUGAGGUAACUGGCUGUCAGAGAGCGAAACUCAUUUGCGCACAGCUGAGGACUGCUGAGAAGUGGUCAAGUCGUAACUGGAACGCAGAAAAAGUUUAAUGAAGACAAUGACUAUCAGUUACCUUUUAUUCUUCAUGAAGUAGCUGAAUGAGAGCGGGACAUGAUUGGAGGGACUGUGAGGAAAUGGAGGCCCAGAGCUCAGAAGAGUAUAAAGUGAAAUGAAGUCCCUCUGCUACCUAUACCAUGGCCUUCUGCUCGCCUCCCAGAGGCAGCUGCAAUGAACAGGAUCUUAGUUCCCCAACCAGGAACUGAACACCGGGCCACAGCAGUGAAAGUGCCAGGUCCUAACCACCGGCCCACCAGGAAAUUCCCCCAGAGGCUGAUCUUGAACUCACCAUCCUCUGAGGACAAGGGCGCUUGAGCCAAAGGCACCACAAGCCUGAGGUGCUGGGAUGCCUUACCUCAGUGGAGCCGGUGAAAGCCACUUUGUCCACAUCCUCAUGGGAGGCGAUGGCAGCUCCGGCUGUGGGGCCAAAUCCAGGAAUGAUAUUGACCACACCAGGAGGAAAGCCAGCCUGUGAAAAAAACACCAGGGACACUGGAGUCAUUCUCCUGCUUCACAGAGUCCAUACAGAGGAAUACGCAUCCCUUCCCAGAGAGGCUGAGGCAGUCGGCCCAUCACCCAGGUCUAACUUUGUUCCUUGUUCUCCAGCGCUCUUUGUCUGUGGACUUACUGUCAGGAAGGGAACUGGCAAAAGCGAAAUAUCCAGAGAGGGAAGAGGAAUGAAGCCAGGGGAAGAGCUAAGCAAGCAAAAUGUGACUUCUUUUCAGGUGCCUCAGAGGGGAGAGGUGUGAACACUUUGACAUGAAUAAAUGUCGUCCUCCCGCCCUGCUGAGGUCACUGGGAGAAGCACCCAGUUGGGAGGCGGUGUUUGCAGGAUUUGGUGACUGACUGGCUGUGAAGGAUGAAGGAGAAGGAGGAGUCACAGACGACCCUGAGGUUUCUCCAUUUGUGGCUUGUUGGAUGGUGGUGCAAACAAGGACACAGGAGCAAAAGUAACCUUGUUGCAGCACGUGGGAUCUUCGGUCUUCAUUGUGGCACUUAGGAUCUUUAGUUGUGGCAUCCGAGCUCUUAGUUGCAGUAUGCAAGCUCUUCGUUGCGGCGUGUGGACUCUAGUUUCCUGACCAGGGAUGGAACCCCAGGCCCGCUGCAUUGGGAGUACCAACUGCUUGGCCACUGCACCACCAGGGAAGUUCCCAAUUUGGGAUUUUUAUUUUUUUAACUAAACUUUUUAUUUUGUAUUGGAAUAUAGCUGAUUAACAGUGUUGUGAUAGUUUCAGGUGGACAGCAAAGGAAUUCAGCCAUACAUAUACCCGUAUCCAAUCCCAACCAUUGAAUUUUAACUAAAACACCUUAGCAAAGACAUAAAAGAGAAUUCACAUAAUGAACAGGAACACUGGUAAAAUUUUCACUCAUAAAUGUUCUGUGCAAACCACAUGGAUACAAAUCCACCUAUUUUGUAAAUUCUAGUGUGGCUCUGGAAAACUCUAAGCAGAUAUGGCUGCCUCUUGCCCCAUACAGAUAAAAACCACAAUGGCGCCCAUUGGUUCAAAGGAUUUAUACCUCCUGAAGGUUUCACAUCCAUUAUCUCAUUUUCCUUCUACCAAAACUCAACCAGACAGGGAAGGAGACUUUAGCAUCCCCAUUUCCAGGUGAGAAAGUGGAGACACCAUGUGGCUAAAUGACUUUUUUAUGUAAUGCAGGGGUUGGAACGAGAUCAGCAGUUCUUAAAUUCAAUCAGUCACGAACUGUGUCAUGACUGAUUUGAUGCUGGUGGUUAAAGUACCGAAGCAGGAGAAUGAUUCAUCUUUUUAAAAAUAACACAUUAUCCUUGUAACAACCUAAUUCUCACCAGCAUUUGGUAUGCUUUCCUGGCUAGGAGAAAAGGAGUGGGGUUGCAGCUGGCAUAAUCGGAAUUCCCAUGGGGGUGUUAUGCAUGUGAAUAGUCAACCAUGUGCAUUCCAACAGUUUGGGGGGAAAAAAAAAGUUGAGAGUUAAUGGAUAAGCCAGGCCUGGAGGUUGCUUCCAGCUCUAAAAUUGGAUGAUUCACCCAAAAUAAACUGUGAGUUGAUGGCAUACAAGAUCAAAACAAACCACUCUUCCCUGUCCAUGGAUCUUACUAAGGAUCACUUACUUUAAAGCGUCGUAGGUUGAAUCAUAAGAUGUAUUGUACAAAACAGGAUGGUUUUGUUUUUAAAUAUUUAUUUAUUUGGCUGUCCCCAGUCUUAGUUGCAGCACAUGACAUCUUCAAUCUUCAUUGCAGCAUGAGGGAUCUUUAGUGGAUUAGCUGCAGCAUGUGGGAUCUAGUUCCCUGACAGGGAUGGAACCCAGGCCCCCUGCACCGGAAGCAUGGAGUCUUAGUGACCGGACCACCAGAGAAGUCCCCAAACCAGGAUAGUUUUAGGAGAAAAAGGGGCAUCAAUGGAAUGGAACAUCAGGACAACAUAUUAAACGGGAAUUGUGUUGAACAAAUCAGGACUAGAAUCACCCUACGUAUAUGUAAUGCAAGAUGUGUAUGCUUCAGUCGUGUCUGACUCUUUGCGACCCUAUGGACUGUAGGCUGCUAGGCUUAUCUGUCCAUGGGAUUCUCCAGACAAGAAUACUGGAGUGGGUUGCCAUGCUCGCCUCCAGGGGAUCUUCCCAACCCAGGGAUUGAACCCAGGUCUCAUGUCUCCGGCUUUGGCAGGCGGGUUCUCUACCACUAGCGCCACCUGGGAAGCCCCAAGUACAUUUACAGAACUGGAAACUGCCAGACCUGCCCCAAGGAACAUCAUUCUAAUGGUGAAUUGGAUGUGUUUUGGUUUCAGUUCCCCCAAAAGCAGACUCUAAGACAAGGAUUUUGGUGCAAGUAGUUGAUUAAGGAGGUGAAGGAGAGUGGGGAAGUGAGGCAGGGGAAGAAAGGUAGCCAAUAAGAGUAUAUCCUCAAAAAAAAAAACAAACAAACACUGUAUAUGGAAAGGAAAAAAAGAGUGUGUCCUCAAGCCAGCAAUUGCUGAGGCCAACUGCAAUAGAAUACCCGAGCUUGUCACAGAGAUGUGCCACCCGACAUUCCCCCUUUAAGGAAGGGCUUGCUGUUCACUCGCAGGGAGUGGGGUCAGCAGAUGGCCCCCAAGCUCCUUCAGGGUCUGUCUUAGGAGCAGAGCUGCCUUGCUCAAGGUCACACCCUUUCCAGAGCAGCCUGCACUGCUGAGCAACCAAGGCAAGGCUGUGAAGGGUGCCCGUCUCCUCCAGAUGCGGGGCACUCUGAUGGGCAGUCCUCACUCCACACCUUCACCCUGGGUUGGCCAAGACUUGGUCAAGCUGGUACUGCAGCCAGACUUUUCCUUGCCUUCCAGAGGGGCUAAUCCCUAAUAAAAACCCUGUAAGUAUCUGCUUGCAGAGAACCAGUCCCAAAGCCAUUCCUCUAGGGAAACUCAGUGUAUUAAUAAUUUUUUUAAUACCUUAAAAAAUUUUAUUUAUUUAUUUAUUUAUUUGGCUGUUUCAUGUCUUAGUCACCACACUCAGGAUCUUCAGUGUUUGUUUUGGCCUCCGGGUUCUUUUAGUUUCGGCAGGCGGAGUCUUCAUUUGCAGCAUGUGAAAUCUUUAGUUGCAGCAAGUAAACUCUUAGUUGUAGCACAUGGGAUCAGGUUCCCUGACCAGGGAUCAAACCUGGGCCCCCUGCAUUGGGAACUCGGAGUCUUACCCACUGGACCACCAGGGAAGUCCCUAAUCAUGUUUGUUUGUUUGUUUUUUAAUUUUCUAUAUCUUAUGAGGUUGUGACAUCUUGGGGGACCUUGCAGAUUAGAGGAGAGACUGCAUUUAUAGGGUUAGCUAAUCCCUUAGAGGAGGUGGAUUGCUUGCUGGAACAUGUCUAGUCAUGCAAAGGCCAUCUGACUCAGUGUCAUAUCCAACCCACCUGCUUAUCUAACUCACACACCAAGCCAAUAGUUGCUACCUCCUAAUCACCCCGGAAUCAGGUACCAGACAACCGAAGACAGCUCCUAUGCCCUAGAGUCCUCUGGAAUUACGCAAAGGAGCCCAUCCUAAAUGGUGUACGCUGUCUCUCGUUUUCUGCAGAAACUCUAGUAAAGGCUGUGGCUUAGGCUUUCCAAUUAUUCCUGCUUCUGCCUCCUGAUCAAGACCUGACCCCUCCCCUGUGGCCCUGAGUGGCGUGGUGUGUCCCCUUUUCUCAGGAAGGGUCAAAUGCUGAUGCCGUGCUGGAGAUCCAGCUCGCACCGUGUAGAUACAGUCCCCAUCCGGCACAGCAGGGCAACAACACAGAAGGAACCUGGGUCCCCUUUCAGCUUCCUGGAGCAGAGCCGCCUAAUCUUGGACCAACUCCUACCCGUGGACAAGAGCGUGAGAAAGAAGGAAAUGUCUAACUUGAUUAGCCCUCUCUAUUUUCAGGUCUUCAGAUUUGAAAUGAGACUUACACUAGCAGCCCCAUCCCACCCCCCACCCCCUUUCUUGAGCUUUUGACCUUGGACUCAAUUGCACCACCAGCUUUCCUGCUUCUCCAGAAGGCAUAGACAGAUUGUGGGAUUUCUCAACCUCCAUAAUCAUGUAAGCCAAUUGCUAUAAUGUUUCUCUCUCUCUCUCUCUCUGUCUCUCUCUCUCUCUAUAUAUAUAUACAUUAUUGGUUCUGUUUUCCUGGAGAACCUUGACUGAAAACAACCAACCUUCAGUAAAAUAACACAGGGUAUGUUAUUAAUAUUAUCUGUCUCAUUACCUAUCUCUGGUUAAAUACUUCUCUUCACUCACAUUUUCUUAAUAAGUCCUAUUUACCAAUUGUUUAACCAUAUUUUGUGAUUCUGUGAACCAUCCACUAGUUUUAGCAUCGAAUGCUGACUCAUGAUUAGAAAGUAGCAAAGUGAAUGGUGGCUAGUCCAUCUCUUUGCUCGAGGUCCCCUGGACCAAGCCUAGUUUGCUCCAAAAGAAACAAUGUCCUAGGCUCAGACCAGCUCCAUUUCAUGUUAUUCUUCUGUACCUGUCCCAAACUACCUUAUACUUACUAUUCAGCAGCUCACUCACACCUGAAAACCCCUAAUUUAGUGCAAGAAUUUCCCUAGUCUCACCCAAAGUCCUAUAAAUCUCAUAAAACCCCUUGAAUUCACACAAGAGCAAAAGUUUUCUUGCUGUAAUGGCCCAGGAUUCUUUAAAAGGACAGUGGAGAAAAUUGUAGACUUGAGAGAGAGGCACCAAACAGGCCUCAUAUGACCGAAAGUUUUCUUUUUUCCCUAUUGGCCAAAUUCAGUCAAUUAAAUUCUACAAUUUGAGAGCAUUCCUUUGGAUGUUAAAACAUUGUCAUUAUCAGUUGUGACUUCACCGGCAUCAAUCAAGUUCUUAUAUUGGCUGUAGUGACCAGUCCUUAUGAACAUGCAAGUUGGGUUAUGUGACGGCCAGAGCGUGGGGUACUGCCUGUCGGGGUGCUGGCUUUGUCUUGCCAGAGCACAAAAUCCUGGGAGUGUGGGGUGCGUGGAAACAGAGGGAGGGGCACCAAAGGAAGAGGUAAGAAUAGAUAAUUCAAAUAAACCCCUCACAAGUUGGUUUGUGCUUUGAGAAUACGAGUUGUGCAGAUUCCAACCGAAAAGAAACAAAUGUGCUCCAUGAGGUCAGACUUUGUCUACUGAGAAAACUUGUGCAGUAGUCACGCCUUGGAGAAUUUCCCGUCGAUAACAAGAUCAACAUUUGAUCAACAACUCUACAAUAUCUGCAAGAAACAUAUGUACCAGCUGAAUGCCGCUGAAGAAAAUCGUUAUAGGAUUAGCAGUUUUCUGACCCACUUACUAAAAAAAAGCCAAAUCGCUCAAUUGAGACCCCAGGGAAAUGCAGAUUUAUACCUUUGACGUACUACUUGGCUUUUCUUCAAUUAACUUAAAUUCUGUAACCAGUUUUUGAGUCUUUGCCAUCUUCUUUUCUUUUAAUUGGGUGAUUUUAUAUGCCUUCUUGAAUAUAAGCCUUUGCAAAUUCUUGGUUUUUCUAAAUGCAAAUGUAUAAUGAAACCUGCAUACAGCUUUCUCCUGUGCAAUUAUUUUCUAAACCCAUCAGGAGGCCUGCUUCUUUCCCUAAUCCUUUCCUUUACUAGAUUGGGGCUGGAUGGGUGGAGUGGGCAGUCGAGAAGAGAAGUCCAGUGCUCUUUGCUUCCAGAUGGGAAUUGGGGAAGAUGGGGAAGAGGGUCUCUCCACCUGUGGCCAUAGGGGUCCAGUAAAUGAGAGGCGCUUCCAUUCCCACAGGCAUGGAGCCAUGAUCAGCUGUUUCCUGUCGCCUGGCCUUGACUAAUCCUUUUCCAACCACUGGGAACAAGCCUUUUCCUCCUGUCAAGUACUCUAGCCCUUCUCUUCCAUCCAGUGUAGCUUUCUUUAAGAAGGUUUCUUUCAGUUGAGGAAUCUCUUCAUUUUCAAGCCCACUGAUACAAUUCCUGACCAACAUCUCCACAACUCACUCUUACAACUGCUGUGUUUAUGCUGAUUACAUGCUUGUCUUAUUUCCCUGUACAGGCCAGACGUCCUCGGCCACAGCCAAAUCCCAGGGCCUGAUUGUGGAAUUCUCUUUUUUCUGGCUUUCUGGUUUCUGGCAAUAGCACCAUCAUUCUGUUGCCCCAGUCAGUAACCUCAGAGGCAUUUCUGCACCCUCCUUUUUCCACACUUGCACUCCCUAAUCUCCAACCAGUAUCCAAAUCCUAGCAGUUCUUUUUUGUUAUUAUUUUUUAGACUUUAUUUAUUUUUGACUGUGCUGGGUUUCUGCUGCUGUGUGGGCUUUUUUCUAGUUGUGGCAACCAUGGGUUACUCUCUAGCUGCAGUGCGCAGGCUUCUCAUUGUGGUGGCUUCUCUUGUUACGGAGCAUGGGCUCUAGGGCCCAGGCUCAAUAGUAGUGGCACAUGGGCUUAGUUGCUCUGCAGCAAGUGGGGUCUUUUCCUCAUCAGGGAUCGAACCCGUGUCGCCUGCAUUGGCAGGUGGAUUCUUUACCACUGAACCACCAGGGAAGCCCCCCUAGCAGUUCUUUCUUUAUAACCUCUCUGACUUCUUUUCUGUAUUUCCCUAUUUCUUUCAUCCCUUUCAUGUAGACUCUUCCAGCUGCAUCUUAACUGUUCUCGCUGGUUCCCAGCUCCCACCACGAGCUCGUCCUUAACACCAGCGCCAGGUGGGUCUUCCUGAGCUACAGCUUUAUUCAGGUCACUUCACAAUUUUAAAAUCACCAAUAGUCCUCUGUUGUCUUGGGGUUAGCAUUCAAGGCUACAUAGGUGGAAAGACCACAGGUUUUAUAAGCAAUCUGAACUCUGCUCACAUACCAACUCUGCCCUUUACUAGUUGCAGGGCAAGAUCCUGACCUUCUCAGAACCUGUUUCCACAUCUAUAAAAUGGAGAUGAUAAUACCCAUCUGGAAAGGUGAUUGUAAAAUUUAAGCAAGAUGACAUAAGCUAACCCUUUGGCCUCCCAUAGUAGGCUCUCAGUAAAUGGCAUCUUUCCUUCUUCUGCAAGUCAAUGCCGGCCUGUCUUUACCUUUACAACUUCAUUCUUCCUCCUUGGUUCUUCUCCAACACAACUUCCUGCCUCCUGUGUCUUUGGAGAAACGGUUCUCUCUACUUGCCUUUCAUCUUUGCCCAUGGAGUCCCCUAUGUCCUUUAAGGGCCAACGUCAUGAAGUGUUCCUUGAUCAAUUUUGUCAAAUACUGUCAGUGGGAUGCCAAGGAGGGAGGUGAGAGUAUGUUGCCACUGACAUUGUUUAGAAGCACCAUCUCAUAGUGAUAAUAAAAAGCAUACAGGGACUUCCCUGGUGGUCCAGUGGCUAAGACUCCUCACUCCCAGAGCAGGGACCCAGGGUUCAGUCCCUAGUCUGGGAACUGGAUUCCACAUGCCAUUACUAAAAGAUCCCUCAUGCCACAAAG
Long non-coding RNA from Dama dama (fallow deer), 8340 nucleotides. RefSeq lists it as uncharacterized. Lineage: Eukaryota; Metazoa; Chordata; Mammalia; Artiodactyla; Cervidae. The record is from RefSeq and is a predicted model, not a curated record. The transcript is spliced from 11 exons.